Molecule: long non-coding RNA, 1022 nt
Organism: Carassius carassius (crucian carp)
Lineage: Eukaryota; Metazoa; Chordata; Actinopteri; Cypriniformes; Cyprinidae
Exons: 3
Source: RefSeq, a predicted model, not a curated record
UAUUUCCAUUUUGCUCUAACGUACAUUUCCUCAAGAUCUGACAAGUGAGGACGUGACAAUCUUUACGAAAAAUGCGUAGCGAGUAACUUACUUGAAAAAUAAACCGUCGCGUGUAUUAAAAUAACGAAUAGGCUAUAUUUUGCUUUAUAUUGCUACCCUGGAGUUUUAGAUGGGUGAAUCCUUAAUUAGCCCCACUGAGACAGGAAGCAUCACAGACUGACAACUAUUCAGGAGAAAUGAUUGCAAAGAAAGCAACGCUGAAUAGGCUACACAAAAAAAGGAGAAGGUGAAGACAGCAGACUGCAGGAGUGUCUCUGGCUCCUGCAGAGCUUCAGUGUGUCCAGAGGAAUUAACGGACCAAGACCUCUGCCACCAGAGACAAGCCCUCAAGCCCUCACAAGAAUAACAGUGUGUUUGGAUGCUUGAGCGAGGAGAAAAAAAAAGAAAGAAAUUCCCAGGAGCAGUCCAGACAGUUCACACAAAGAGACACAGACUAGACUUCUCUCACCAUCCUCCAAUUACUGGCUUUGCAUAUUUUAUCAUACGUAUGUGUGUGCUUGUUUUUGUGCAUGUCUCAUCUCAUCCCUGUAAGCCAUUUAAUAAGGAGACCCUAAGAUGGAAAAAGAAAGGAAAGGUGUGGUUCAGCAUGUUUACUGUACCUAGAGGUGUGUUCUUUGCAGCGCGUGUAACUCGUAUCAAAAAUUUCUUGAGGAAAUAUUGAAUAGCAUCCUUGCUUCUCCCUCAUUGUUGUAACUAGCUGUAUGUAGCAGUGCUACUAACUUAACUUUUCAGUAGCGUGACAUUUGCUCAGCUAUUCCCAAAAUAGCGUACAUUUUCCUGUAACAAGCUACUUUUUUCCUACAUGUUGCGGCGUAGCAUGACUAAACUCCAUCGCUGUUAUGCUUUAUGUCGCAGUGCAUUAUUCUAACAGCCUAACAGCUAAGCAAGAUGUAUUUAAAUCAAAAUGAAUUCCAAAUGGACUGAAUUUGCUUUUUUAAUAGAUGUUCCUGGUUUAAUUCCAA